CAGGAGGAGACCGGUUGAUUCUCAUGGUCUUUUUUCUCUCAAAGAACCUAGCCCAGGAACAUCCAGUGUGUCAGAUCAAAUGCAAGCAACAAAGGCUCCCCCGCCCCGCGUCACGCCUUCUCCAAUCCUCCUCUUUGGGGAUGCUCCGGGAAGGGCAACCGGGGACUUGAGGGGACCAGCGCUCCUAGGGCAAGGCGGAGGCAGCCCGGGCUGAUGCCAGUGAAGUGAUGCCUCAGUCCUCCGGUUGUGUUUGAAGAAUUGCUGGGGCUAUUAUGACAACUGAGGGCAAAGAAGGGAAAACAGACUCUAAGAAAACCAUCUCAAAAGUCUUGGAUUUGCUGCUGUUAAAAGGCUGCUGUGCAUUUCUGAUUUCCUCAUCUUUUGCUACAAAGGAAAAAGAAAUCUAAUGAUGUGUCUACAUUUGAUGAGACGAAAACACUAACAACAGUGAAGGUGCACUUAUUUUCUUUUCUUUUCCCCUGAUUUUGUUUUAAUAUCGUGUAGUUUAGCAGGUUGAAAGCUGUGGAGAUGUAAAAGGAUGUUCACUUGUCCACAUCUAUUCGCUGACUUUCAUCACUUGAAUUUUGUAGGAUUUUUUUUUUUUUUGGUCAAAUAGAAGUUAUGGGAAAGAGAAUUAGACACUUGCCAAGGGACAACAAUAUUAUACACUUUCAAGUAAGCUCCACCUA
Bubalus bubalis (water buffalo) is the source of this 689-nucleotide long non-coding RNA. RefSeq lists it as uncharacterized. The transcript has 3 exons. NCBI's taxonomy places the organism in Eukaryota, Metazoa, Chordata, Mammalia, Artiodactyla, Bovidae. The record is from RefSeq and is a predicted model, not a curated record.